GACGAAGGAUGCAAGCGUUAUCCGGAUUCAUUGGGUUUAAAGGGUGCGUAGGCGGCUUUGUAAGUCAGUGGUGAAAUACGGCAGCUCAACUGUCGAGGUGCCAUUGAUACUGCAGAGCUAGAGUACUGAUGAGGUAGGCGGAAUGGACGGUGUAGCGGUGAAAUGCUUAGAUAUCGUCCAGAACACCGAUAGCGAAGGCAGCUUACUAAAGAGUAACUGACGCUGAGGCACGAAAGUGUGGGGAUCAAACAGG
Molecule: ribosomal RNA, 253 nt
Filed under: uncultured bacterium
Lineage: Bacteria
Description: partial 16S ribosomal RNA
Rfam family: Bacterial small subunit ribosomal RNA
Source: RNAcentral